Long non-coding RNA from Macadamia integrifolia, 183 nucleotides. RefSeq lists it as uncharacterized. The transcript is spliced from 2 exons. NCBI's taxonomy places the organism in Eukaryota, Viridiplantae, Streptophyta, Magnoliopsida, Proteales, Proteaceae. The record is from RefSeq and is a predicted model, not a curated record.
UAAAACAUAACGGCUACAAAUAUAAUAAAAAAUUAUUCCAAAAAAUUGAUACGGAUGGAAACCAUUCUCUAGAUUUUGAGGAAUUCAAGGUCUUCUUCUACCUCACUAGACAGGACGCGUUGAAGAGUUGGAUCUUCAAGGAUAACAAUUGCAGCAGGCUCAAUAACUUUAUAGAAAAGUUGG